UACGACACCUAUCCGCCUGGGGACUACAAGCACUAGCUUCAAACCCAAAGGACUUGGCGGUGCUUUAGACCCACCUAGAGGAGCCUGUCCUAGAACCGAUAACCCCCGUUCAACCUCACCACUUCUUGCCUAAUCCGUCUAUAUACCUCCGUCGUCAGCUUACCCUGUGAAGGACUCAUAGUAAGCUUAACUGGCACAGCCCAAAACGUCAGGUCGAGGUGUAGCAUACGAAGUGUGCAAGAGAUAGGCUACAUUUUCUGACUCAGAAUACUACGAAAGAGGAAAUGAAAAACCCUCCAAAGGCGGAUUUAGCAGUAAGCAAGGAAUAGAGCGCCCCGCUGAAACUGGCCCUGAAGCGCGUACACACCGC
This 370-nucleotide ribosomal RNA is filed under the name Benthosema glaciale. RNAcentral's name for it is "partial small subunit ribosomal RNA". It matches the Rfam family "Bacterial small subunit ribosomal RNA", at positions 856 to 1393 of the family's 1533-position model. Lineage: Eukaryota; Metazoa; Chordata; Actinopteri; Myctophiformes; Myctophidae. The record is from RNAcentral.